Molecule: ribosomal RNA, 1439 nt
Filed under: Listeria seeligeri
Lineage: Bacteria; Bacillati; Bacillota; Bacilli; Caryophanales; Listeriaceae
Description: partial 23S ribosomal RNA
Rfam family: Bacterial large subunit ribosomal RNA
Source: RNAcentral
UUGGUUAAGUUAGAAAGGGCGCACGGUGGAUGCCUUGGCACUAGGAGCCGAAGAAGGACGGGACUAACACCGAUAUGCUUUGGGGAGCUGUACGUAAGCGUUGAUCCAGAGAUUUCCGAAUGGGGGAACCCACUAUCUUUAGUCGGAUAGUAUCCUUACGUGAAUACAUAGCGUGAGGAAGGCAGACCCAGGGAACUGAAACAUCUAAGUACCUGGAGGAAGAGAAAGAAAAAUCGAUUUCCUGAGUAGCGGCGAGCGAAACGGAAAGAGCCCAAACCAAGAAGCUUGCUUCUUGGGGUUGUAGGACACUCUAUACGGAGUUACAAAAGAAAGUUAUAAAUGAAGCGGUCUGGAAAGGCCCGCCAAAGACGGUAACAGCCCGGUAGUUGAAAUAGCUUUCCCUCCAGAGUGGAUCCUGAGUACGGCGGAACACGUGAAAUUCCGUCGGAAUCCGGGAGGACCAUCUCCCAAGGCUAAAUACUCCCUAGUGACCGAUAGUGAACCAGUACCGUGAGGGAAAGGUGAAAAGCACCCCGGAAGGGGAGUGAAACAGUUCCUGAAACCGUGUGCCUACAAGUAGUUAGAGCCCGUUAAUGGGUGAUAGCGUGCCUUUUGUAGAAUGAACCGGCGAGUUACGAUUUGUUGCAAGGUUAAGCGGAAAAAGCGGAGCCGUAGCGAAAGCGAGUCUGAAUAGGGCGAAUAAGUAACAGGUCGUAGACCCGAAACCAGGUGAUCUACCCAUGUCCAGGAUGAAGGUAAGGUAAUACUUACUGGAGGUCCGAACCCACGCACGUUGAAAAGUGCGGGGAUGAGGUGUGGGUAGCGGAGAAAUUCCAAUCGAACUUGGAGAUAGCUGGUUCUCUCCGAAAUAGCUUUAGGGCUAGCCUCGAGGUAAAGAGUCAUGGAGGUAGAGCACUGUUUGGACUAGGGGCCCUUCUCGGGUUACCGAAUUCAGAUAAACUCCGAAUGCCAUGUACUUAUACUCGGGAGUCAGACUGCGAGUGAUAAGAUCCGUAGUCGAAAGGGAAACAGCCCAGACCACCAGUUAAGGUCCCCAAAUAUAUGUUAAGUGGAAAAGGAUGUGGGGUUGCUUAGACAACCAGGAUGUUGGCUUAGAAGCAGCCACCAUUGAAAGAGUGCGUAAUAGCUCACUGGUCGAGUGACCCCGCGCCGAAAAUGUACCGGGGCUAAACAUAUUACCGAAACUGUGGAUGAACCUCUUUAGAGGUUCGUGGUAGGAGAGCGUUCUAAGGGCGGUGAAGUCAGACCGGAAGGACUGGUGGAGCGCUUAGAAGUGAGAAUGCCGGUAUGAGUAGCGAAAGAAGGGUGAGAAUCCCUUCCACCGAAUAUCUAAGGUUUCCUGAGGAAGGCUCGUCCGCUCAGGGUUAGUCGGGACCUAAGCCGAGGCCGAUAGGCGUAGGCGAUGGACAACAGGUAGA